RNAcentral lists this ribosomal RNA (324 nucleotides) under uncultured eukaryote. RNAcentral's name for it is "partial 18S ribosomal RNA". It matches the Rfam family "Eukaryotic small subunit ribosomal RNA", at positions 1470 to 1796 of the family's 1831-position model. The record is from RNAcentral.
CCCUUAGACGUUCUGGGCCGCACGCGCGCUACACUGACGAAGGCAACGAGCUUUCCUUUACCGAAAGGUACGGGUAAUCUUUUGAAACUUCGUCGUGCUGGGGAUAGAUCCUUGCAAUUUUUGAUCUUAAACGAGGAAUUCCUAGUAAGCGCAAGUCAUCAGCUAAUGUUGAUUAUGUCCCUGCCCUUUGUACACACCGCCCGUCGCUACUACUGAUUGGGUGUUCAAGUGAGAUGCUUAGACCCUUGUUGCAUGGUUCAUUAUUGUGCUCCGAAAGGAAAAAGUUUCAAGCUCGAGUGUCUAGAGGAAGUAAAAGUCGUAACA